RNAcentral lists this ribosomal RNA (257 nucleotides) under uncultured bacterium. RNAcentral describes it as "partial 16S ribosomal RNA". It matches the Rfam family "Bacterial small subunit ribosomal RNA", at positions 526 to 779 of the family's 1533-position model. The record is from RNAcentral.
CGUAGGGUGCGAGCGUUGUCCGGAAUUACUGGGCGUAAAAGAGCUCGUAGGCGGUUUGUCACGUCGUCUGUGAAAUCCUCCAGCUUAACUGGGGGGCGUGCAGGCGAUACGGGCAGACUUGAGUACUACAGGGGAGACUGGAAUUCCUGGUGUAGCGGUGAAAUGCGCAGAUAUCAGGAGGAACACCGGUGGCGAAGGCGGGUCUCUGGGUAGUAACUGACGCUGAGGAGCGAAAGCAUGGGGUAGCGAACAGGAUU